Molecule: ribosomal RNA, 406 nt
Filed under: uncultured bacterium
Lineage: Bacteria
Description: partial 16S ribosomal RNA
Rfam family: Bacterial small subunit ribosomal RNA
Source: RNAcentral
AUUGAACGCUGGCGGCAGGCCUAACACAUGCAAGUCGAACGAGUGGCGGACGGGUGAGUAAUGUCUGGGAAACUGCCUGAUGGAGGGGGAUAACUACUGGAAACGGUAGCUAAUACCGCAUACCAUCGGAUGUGCCCAGAUGGGAUUAGCUAGUAGGUGGGGUAAAGGCUCACCUAGGCGACGAUCCCUAGCUGGUCUGAGAGGAUAAACACAAACAUGGGAACUGAGACACGGUCAGGAGUACUACGGGAGGGAGCAGUGGGGAAUAUUGAACAAUGGGCGCAGGCCUGAUACAGCCAUGCCGCGUGUAGGAAGAAGGCCUGCGGGUUGUAAAGUACUUUCAGCGGGGAGGCGUUACCCGCAGAAGAAGCACCGGCUAACUCCGUGCCAGCAGCCGCGGUAAUAC